UUUUUUUUUUCUGUAACUAGUUACACUUUUUUGUUUGGCAAAGCCCAAAAUGAAUAGGAAAUCAUGGACGCAGGUAAUGUUUAUUUCGUAUAAUUUUUUUCUUUAUUUGUUGUUUGAUUGUAAUAGUGAAUAGUGAUUUUUGAAAUCGGGUGGCUUGUUUGCAGGAAACUGGGUUAAGCUGUUGAAACAUUUUGAGAAAUAUAAUAAAUUUAAAUUUAUUAGAAAUAUAAUAAAUAAAUUUAAAUUUAUUUAUUUGUGGCAGGUUGUGACCUAUUUUGAAGAGCAACAGGUCACUCUGCAUAUAAGUCUUUGAAUUUAAAGUGUAGUAAGAAAAAAAUAUUUCUCCUGGAUACUUAAAGUUAUCUUGUUAUAUGUUCGGGAAAAGUAUAUAUUCAAAAGUUAUGAUAUUUAGAAUUCUUUUGCAAGUUUCAUUAUUGCAUAGAGUCCUAUAUAUUGUUGAGAUAUAAUUAGUAAUCUAGUAAAUUGAGCAAGAAGUUUAAACUGAAGAAAAGUUGAGAAAGCUUCUGAUUUUUCAUUCAAAAAAUAAAUCCACAUCAUCCUUGUAUAGUCAUCAACAAAAAGAAUGAAAUAUCUCCUGUUAUUGAGAGAGAGAGUCCUUGUAGGACCACAAAUAUCAGCAUGCACCAACUCCAACGGAGCUUUGGCUCUCCAUGAAUUUUUAGGAAAUGGAAGUCUAUGCAUUUUUCCAUAUAUACAGCCCUCGCAAACUUUUUCAUAUCUUCCAACAUCAGGUAAGCCAAUCACCAUGUUCUUUUGCUUGAGUUUACUAGAUUACUAAUUAUAUCUCAACAUAUAUAUUACACAAUUCUGGAAAUAGUUUGAUCUAUUUUUCUAUUAGUCUCAAUAGAUUCUUAUUCACCCUGCAAUUUCCAUUGCUGAUUUUGUCGUUCUAUUAGUUGCUUGUUUUAAAUUAUUUUCAUUUUCAAUGAAUUUUGGUCUUGGUUGUGCAGGAAUUGGCAUUGUGAUAAUUUGAGGUUUAUUGCUAACGCUAUCAUGGAUUGACGAAUUGGAUUUGGUUAUGAACUGAGUUAGCCAUCGGUUAUUAGCAGUUUCUGAACAAGGAGCAAGAAGAUACCAGUGAGGACCUGGAUUUCAGAAGCAAUUCUUUUAUUUUGCUUUUAUUUUGAAUCAUUAGCAUUUUCUUUUUCUCGUUUGGUUUCAGAUAUUGGUGGCAUUGGGUAGUGGGUUUGUUUCUCGAAUCAUGAUGAUGCCAAUGUGAUUGCAAACAGCAGAGUCUAAAAUUUAUACGACCUUGUGAUUUGUCCUAUAUUUUUUUACUAAUGUUUGCUUAAUUUUUUUUCCUUUUUGUUCUUUUUUGAGUGAUCUCCAUAAUUAAUCAAGAACCAAAAUAUC
RNAcentral lists this long non-coding RNA (1374 nucleotides) under Citrus x clementina. RNAcentral's name for it is "Citrus clementina (C. clementina) long non-coding RNA (CCLE_LNC002133)". The record is from RNAcentral. Lineage: Eukaryota; Viridiplantae; Streptophyta; Magnoliopsida; Sapindales; Rutaceae.